Molecule: RNA transcript, 774 nt
Organism: Piliocolobus tephrosceles (Ugandan red Colobus)
Lineage: Eukaryota; Metazoa; Chordata; Mammalia; Primates; Cercopithecidae
Gene name: juxtaposed with another zinc finger protein 1 pseudogene
Exons: 2
Source: RefSeq, a predicted model, not a curated record
AUGCUAAAAAGUUUUGAUACAAAUGAUGUUUAUAAAAACAACUUGUGUACACAACUCUCACUGACUCUGUCCAGCUCAGUGUCUCGAGGGAAUGUGUCCACUCCCCCACGCCAGCAGCACUCCGACAGGCAGCAAGUAUGACGAGGAGGAGGUGGAUUAUGAGGAAUCGGACAGUGAUGAGUCCUGGACCACAGAGAGUGCCAUCAGCUUCGAAGCCAUCCUCAGCUCCAUGUGCAUGAAUGGAGGGGAAGAGAAGCCUUUUGCCUGCCCAGUUCCUGGAUGUAAAAAGAGAUACAAGAAUGUGAAUGGCAUAAAGUAUCACGCUAAGAAUGGUCACAGAACACAGAUUCGUGUCCGCAAACCAUUCAAAUGUCGCUGUGGGAAGAGUUACAAGACAGCUCAGGGCCUGCGGCACCACACAAUCAAUUUCCAUCCCCCGGUGUCGGCUGAGAUCAUCAGGAAGAUGCAGCAAUAACAUGCUGGUCAUAACUGUGCCAAGAAAUCCUCACCAGCAGUUGCUGAUUUUGAAAACAGCCACCUUUUUUCAGGGGAAGCAUUCAGCAACCCUUUAAAGAAAAAGAAUUAAAUGCAUGCUUUAAAUUUUUUCUGUAAUUUUGGAAUGAUGUAUCUUUGUAGAGUUAAUGAUUUUGUACAUUUGCACAUGUAAUCAUCAUACCCAUUUUCAUUACUUUGAUAUAAGGUGCUAAACAAAACAAGCUCUAGGUUCUUCAGCACAUUUCCCCCAAAACAAAAUAAAAUUGAGGGCAUGUUGCA